Molecule: ribosomal RNA, 465 nt
Filed under: uncultured Klebsiella sp.
Lineage: Bacteria; Pseudomonadati; Pseudomonadota; Gammaproteobacteria; Enterobacterales; Enterobacteriaceae
Description: bacterial SSU rRNA
Rfam family: Bacterial small subunit ribosomal RNA
Source: RNAcentral
CCUACGGGUGGCUGCAGUGGGGAAUAUUGCACAAUGGGCGCAAGCCUGAUGCAGCCAUGCCGCGUGUGUGAAGAAGGCCUUCGGGUUGUAAAGCACUUUCAGCGGGGAGGAAGGCGUUAAGGUUAAUAACCUUGGCGAUUGACGUUACCCGCAGAAGAAGCACCGGCUAACUCCGUGCCAGCAGCCGCGGUAAUACGGAGGGUGCAAGCGUUAAUCGGAAUUACUGGGCGUAAAGCGCACGCAGGCGGUCUGUCAAGUCGGAUGUGAAAUCCCCGGGCUCAACCUGGGAACUGCAUUCGAAACUGGCAGGCUAGAGUCUUGUAGAGGGGGGUAGAAUUCCAGGUGUAGCGGUGAAAUGCGUAGAGAUCUAGAGGAAUACCGGUGGCGAAGGCGGCCCCCUGGACAAAGACUGACGCUCAGGUGCGAAAGCGUGGGGAGCAAACAGGAUUAGAUACCCCUGUAGUC